Mus musculus (house mouse) is the source of this 945-nucleotide long non-coding RNA. RefSeq annotates it as predicted gene 10822. NCBI's taxonomy places the organism in Eukaryota, Metazoa, Chordata, Mammalia, Rodentia, Muridae. The record is from RefSeq and is a predicted model, not a curated record. The transcript has 3 exons.
AUGUUAGCACCUUCUUCCUCUGCAUCCCUACAACCUCCAAGCCCGUGGCCCUUCCACCAUUACUCACCUUUCCAGGUCACUAAUUCAUGGUCCUGCCAGCCACCCGCGAGCCCGGAGGCCGGCCGUGUUUACAAACUAGCCCCGGAGGAGAGGGCUGAAUCGCACUUUAAAGGCCACGGGCUCCCACAGGCUUCCGUCCUCUCUCGCGAGAUCCGACUGACAAACCUUCUCCCCGCCCCACUCCCGGCAUCCCUGCCGCUUUCUUCUUGCGCCCCUCCCCUUCACGCACACGCCCCUUCCUGCUUUCCACCGAGGGAGCGCCCGCGGGUCAGGGAACUGCAGAAAGCUGUGAUUGGCAGCCGUCGGGAGGCGGGCACGAGAAGCUGCACCGGAUCUGGGGCGCGCGCGCAGGUGGCGGAGGAGCGAGCAGGAGGGCGUGGGCGGUGUGAGAGAAGAAAGGGUCCUUCUUACCUUGGACACGACCUGUAGGAUCAACUGUCAAUCAAAUUCUCUAGCUCUUUACAUGUAGAGCAUCAAUGCUUCUCAAGAAUGAACAUUCUAAGCACUGCUCCUGCCUGAGACUACAUCCCUGGAGAAACUCCCUGUGGGCCAAGUGGACCAUGCCACGGGUCAGAAGAAUUAGUAGAGUUGAGUGAGCUCAAACUCCGUAAACCUCAGAGUUGAGAAUGGUAGGAGUGGGGCCAACCCCCUGCCUAACUCUACGUGCCCUGAAUCAUGAUGCCCCACUGAGUACCAUGGCAAUCAGUCAAGUAGCGUACAGACCUGGAGUUCUCCAUGCUAAUAAGGUAUCUAGGUAGAUCCCGAGCGCUCCACCAGUGAGCUUUCCUUUUUGGCCAUUCUUUCCCACAAAAGGUAUUUAAUCCUUGGUUCACCCUGAGUAAGGUGUAUGCAUUACAUCCAUCAAAUAAAGGUUUGGACAAGCAA